This 776-nucleotide ribosomal RNA is filed under the name Flavobacteriaceae bacterium COL-25. Its description in RNAcentral is "bacterial SSU rRNA". It matches the Rfam family "Bacterial small subunit ribosomal RNA", at positions 173 to 954 of the family's 1533-position model. The record is from RNAcentral. Lineage: Bacteria; Pseudomonadati; Bacteroidota; Flavobacteriia; Flavobacteriales; Flavobacteriaceae.
GUAUUGAGAGUUGGCAUCAACUUUUAAUUAAAGAUUUAUCGGUAAAAGAUGGCUAUGCGUCCUAUUAGUUAGUUGGUAAGGUAACGGCUUACCAAGACAGCGAUAGGUAGGGGUCCUGAGAGGGAGAUCCCCCACACUGGUACUGAGACACGGACCAGACUCCUACGGGAGGCAGCAGUGAGGAAUAUUGGACAAUGGAGGAGACUCUGAUCCAGCCAUGCCGCGUGUAGGAAGAAUGCCCUAUGGGUUGUAAACUACUUUUAUACAGGAAGAAACAGUGGUAUGUAUACCACCUUGACGGUACUGUAAGAAUAAGGACCGGCUAACUCCGUGCCAGCAGCCGCGGUAAUACGGAGGGUCCAAGCGUUAUCCGGAAUCAUUGGGUUUAAAGGGUCCGCAGGCGGUCAAUUAAGUCAGAGGUGAAAUCCCAUAGCUUAACUAUGGAACUGCCUUUGAUACUGGUUGACUUGAGUCAUAUGGAAGUAGAUAGAAUGUGUAGUGUAGCGGUGAAAUGCAUAGAUAUUACACAGAAUACCGAUUGCGAAGGCAGUCUACUACGUAUGUACUGACGCUGAGGGACGAAAGCGUGGGGAGCGAACAGGAUUAGAUACCCUGGGUAGUCCACGCCGUAAACGAUGGAUACUAGUUGUUGGGAUUUAUCUCAGUGACUAAGCGAAAGUGAUAAGUAUCCCACCUGGGGAGUACGGUCGCAAGACUGAAACUCAAAGGAAUUGACGGGGGCCCGCACAAGCGGUGGAGCAUGUGGUUUAAUUUCA